RNAcentral lists this ribosomal RNA (659 nucleotides) under uncultured prokaryote. RNAcentral describes it as "bacterial SSU rRNA". It matches the Rfam family "Bacterial small subunit ribosomal RNA", at positions 28 to 700 of the family's 1533-position model. The record is from RNAcentral.
GAUGAACGCUGGCGGCGUGCUUAACACAUGCAAGCCGAACGGACGGAAUGGAGCUUGCUCCAUGAAGUUAGUGGCGGACGGGUGAGUAACGCGUGGGUAACCUGCCCUAUGCAGGGGGAUAACGUUUGGAAACGAACGCUAAUACCGCAUAACCUAGUUGAUUCGCAUGAAUCGACUAGCAAAGAUUUAUCGGCAUAGGAUGGACCCGCGUUGGAUUAGCUAGUUGGUGAGAUAACAGCCCACCAAGGCGACGAUCCAUAGCCGGCCUGAGAGGGUGAACGGCCACACUGGGACUGAGACACGGCCCAGACUCCUACGGGAGGCAGCAGUGGGGAAUAUUGCACAAUGGGCGCAAGCCUGAUGCAGCGACGCCGCGUGAAGGAUGAAGGUCUUCGGAUUGUAAACUUCUAUCAGCAGGGAGGAACCAAUGACGGUACCUGACUAAGAAGCCCCGGCUAACUACGUGCCAGCAGCCGCGGUAAUACGUAGGGGGCAAGCGUUAUCCGGAAUUACUGGGUGUAAAGGGUGCGUAGGUGGCAUGGUAAGUCAGAUGUGAAAACUUGGGGCUCAACUUCAAGAUUGCAUCUGAAACUGCUAAGCUAGAGUGCAGGAGAGGAAAGCGGAAUUCCNAGUGUAGCGGUGAAAUGCGUAGAGAUUCG